Chelonia mydas (Green sea turtle) is the source of this 1735-nucleotide long non-coding RNA. RefSeq lists it as uncharacterized. The record is from RefSeq and is a predicted model, not a curated record. Lineage: Eukaryota; Metazoa; Chordata; Testudines; Cheloniidae. The transcript is spliced from 2 exons.
GCUCAGUGGGUAGAACAAGGUGUAUUGUAACCCCCGCACCCCCCCACAGCCAAGGGCGACACUCCCACCCCCACAUUUACCUCGCAAAGGCUUCAAAAGAACCCAGGCGUCCCGGAGGCUGAGAGAAGAGAACAGAAGGGAAAAAAUUCUGCAGCUUACCGAGCUCUGCAAGGGUCUAAGAUAGGAAGAGUGAGAGAGAAAGAAAGAAAGAUUCUGCUAGAGGGAGCAAAGGGUGCACUAAAGGACGACACAGAAAGAAUCGACAAUGAUUGAAAGAUCACACAAAAGGAGGAGUAUCCACCCUCCACCUCGCUCUUUUUCUGGGCAUCUCGGCUUCCCUGACUCCAUCCGUUCUUGGCUCUCCUCCCGCCUCCCCGGGGCUCGGUCGUUCUCUUCUCCAUCUGCACCUUCUCCUCGCAAACCCGGGUCUAACUCCUGCCUCCACUCCCAGAUCGACCUCACCAAGCAAAAAUCCGGCCAUCUCCUGGCUAUCUAACCAGCUCCUCACCCCAGCUUGCCUGUCACGGUCGACGCGGGCCUUCCUCUCACGUGCGGACUCCGUGGAAGUCUUGAGGAUGCCGCCCGACGUCCUCAAGAUCCAGCUUUUCCUCUCUAUCCUCGCCCCACCGCAUCGUCCGUGCGAUCUUGCCCGGCUCGUCCCUGCCUGGAAUGGGCGGGGGGCCCGAAAUCCUCCUCCAAGCCCAUUUCUCUGACCACAUUCCCCUAAGAAGAGAAGAACGGCCACGCCGGGUCAGUCCAAUCGCUGCUGACAGCGGCCAAUGCCAGGUGCUUCAGAGGGAAUGAACCGUGAUCCACCCCGUCACCCAGUGCCAGCUACUGGCAAUCAGAGGUUUAGGGACACCCAGACCAUGGGAAGGCAGCCCUAGCCAUCCUGGCUAACAGCCACUGAUGGACCGAUCAGCCAUGAACUUAUCUAACGCGUUUUCGAACCCUUGCAGCCCUCCACUGACACCCCCUUCUCUGGCACAUCAGACAUAAGCCAUUUGGACAAUGAGAAGGAGGUUUUUUUAACCACAUGAGGAACAAUAAGGAUCCUGAGAACAGUCCAGUCCUUGAUGGAAAUGGUAAACUUACCAAUACUAGCACAGAACAGGCAGACGCGGUCAAUAAAUAUUUCUGUUCUGCGUAACAAAAACAGACAUUGAAGGCUCAUCGGACGAGUGAUGACAACACUGUUUCCAUUCCACUAGUGUCUCUGGAGAAUGUUACACAGACACUACUAAAAAUCAAACAUUUUUAAAUCAUGUGGCCCAGAGAACUUCAAUCCAAGAGUUUUACAAGAGCUGGCCGAGGAGCUGGGUGUACUGUUACUGUUGCUUUGGAGCACUGGGGAAGGUCCAGAAGACUAUAAUAAAUCAAUGUGCCAAUUUUUUAAAAGAGGGUGAAUGGGAUGAUCUGCGUAAUUAUAGGCCUGUCAGCCUGACAUCCAUCCUGGGCAAGAGAACAGAGAGGCGGAUACAGGACUCAAUCAAUGAAGAAUUAAAAGAGAGUGAUGUAAUUAAUGCCAAUCAACAGGGGUUUACGGAAAAUAGAUCCGGUCAAACUAACUUGAUAUCUUUUUUUAACGAGAUUACACGUUUGGUUGCUAAAGGUGACAGCGCUCAUGUAACAGGCAGACUUCGCCGAGGCGUUUGACCUGGUCGCGCAUAACACGGAUUAAAAAUUCACACAAUGUAACAUUAACACAACCCACAUUAAAUGGCUUAAAAACCAG